This 646-nucleotide long non-coding RNA is filed under the name Sorghum bicolor (sorghum). RNAcentral describes it as "long non-coding RNA (SBIC_LNC016072)". Lineage: Eukaryota; Viridiplantae; Streptophyta; Magnoliopsida; Poales; Poaceae. The record is from RNAcentral.
AGUAAGUGUUAGUUUGGAAGUACUGUACAUACUUCUAUUGGCUUUUAAAUUAAGCGUGGUGCUUAGGUUAAAUAGCCUUCCUUAAUUUGAUUAGACAUGGAGUCUAGUUUGGUUACUGAGCUAAAAACUGCUUGUGUAGACAUUGGUAUAUUUUGUUGGACUAACCCCUGCAGGAAAACUUUCAAUAUCAACCUGAGAAGUCCUGAGAUACAAACUCAUUGGAGAUAGAGGAGACACAUGAAGUUUAACAAUUUGCACAAGAAGGACAUAGCUCAUUCAUCAUAGAGAGAUGACCCAUGGAAGGAGACAAAGUACAUAAACAAGAUACACACCCAUUACGAAUGGGAAGCUUCCACAAGGUGAGAUGGUACCAUCACUCUUCAAUUAAGGUAACAUCUUAAGAUAUGUGACUAUCACUUUUAUAAGCUUCUCCUUGGUUCUGGCAUUCACAUAAAAUAAAGAGACAAACAUGUAUGAUUUAUAACUCCAAAUUUACCAACCCAAUUAAUUCAACAUGUUUAGUCCUUUAAUCUUUGUUCUUAUUACUACCUUCGUGAUCCCACACUCCUAAUCAUAUAAGCUAAAAUAUUGCACAUUCAGUCUUUGGAAGAUAUAAACAUAAAUAUAGACAGAUUAUCUUUCCAUU